GAAUUUUAUAUAAAUUGUUAUUAAAUAUAUUAAUGAGUUAUAUUUUAUUGGGAGGAUAAUUAAAUUUAAUAAACUUUAAUAUAAAAAAACUUAGAUUAAUGGAAAUAAAAAAAUGAUUAAUUUGAAAUUAUUAGAGAGUAAAUUACCUUAGGGAUAACAGCAUUAUAUUUUUUUUUAGAUCAUAUAUAAAAAAAUGGUUAU
Molecule: ribosomal RNA, 201 nt
Filed under: Pachycondyla harpax
Lineage: Eukaryota; Metazoa; Arthropoda; Insecta; Hymenoptera; Formicidae
Description: partial large subunit ribosomal RNA
Source: RNAcentral